AUCCUCUUAAAAUACCAUUCCCAGCAUCAUUUGCUGAGUCUUUUCUGUGCACCGGCCCUUUGCACCAUCUCCCGUAAUCUCACAGCACUCUGUAAGGUAAAUUUUAUUGUCUUCAUUUUGCAGAUGAGGAAAUUGAGGCUCAGAUAAAGUAAUCUAACAUCGCAUCGUUAAUAAGUGGUUGAACGAGGCUUUAAUUCCCAGUCAGCUAGAUUUCAGAGAACCUGAGAGAGAAGCAAAGAGAAGGUAAUAAUUUUUAAAGAAUGAAUCUCCACCUUCUGAAACCUGGUAGCAAGUCUUGCCUUUAUUGUGGUCCUUAUCAAAUUCUGCUUUGUUAUUUCUGGUCUUCUUAUAUCACCUCUAUUUAAUUAUAAGCUAUUCUGUGUGGGAGAAGGGAGGAGCUUGUGCAAACCAUUUUUUACCUUCUUUACAGGGUCUUGUUCAGUGCCUGGGACAAAGUAGAUAUUCAAGAGGCUUUUUUAUUCAUUCCUCAUUUAUUUACUGAGUGUUUACUCUGUGGCCAAGCCCAGUAAAGAGGACAGAUCAUGCCCUCUAGGAGCUUUCAGAGCAGUGGAGAGGGUGGUUAAUAAGCAGGGCUCUCACCUGGGUGUGGAAGUACUCUGGUGGGGGAAGCAGGGGCCACCGACCAGCGGAGAGCUCUGCCAAGGCUUCCCAGAGAUCUCAUCGGAACCCACUCCUGGAAUAUCAGUAAGAGCCAGGCAAAGAGAGUGGGGAGGACAUGAUAAGCAGAGUGAACAAACAGGGGUGUGCGAAGCCCCCACCCCCCACCCAGUCAGAGAUAAGCACAUGGUCUGUUCCAAAGAUCCAGGUCAUCUGGAGCUUGCUGUUCACAUGUAGGGUGAGGGGGCUUCUGUGGGAGGGAGGGCAGAGGCAGAGGGGGACCAGAAGGACAGGUGGUGGAGAGGUAUCAGGCAUGAGGUUCAGAAGGAUCAAGUGCCCCAUGCUUUAUCCUGAUGUCCUGGGAAGGGAUAAGUGCAGGGAGGAAGCAAGACAAGCAUACAGUUUAACAAGAUGAUCAGCUAGAUGGUGGAGAAGAGAAAGGAAGGAAGUCUGGUGGCCGGAAAGAAAACCAAAGAAUUGAUGGCUAAAGCUAAGGAGAAGGAGGAUCUUGCCUUCUGGAGAGGAGAAGACCAUUUUGUAUGGAAUUUAGAAGGACAUGCAAAUAUUUUAUUGUUAUUCUUAGAGCUCCACCCCCAUCCGGUUUCUCUCUUCAUUAAUUUGUGGAAGCCACCUGGACUAAAAUACUGACGGAAUCUUCACUUUGAAUGUCCUUGUGUUUAGGCAUCCCAGUAUAGGUAUUAGAGAUUUAAUUAGAGCUGCAUUGAAGCACUUUUUAUCUUAACAAUCUCUCUGCGGGAGAGGUAACAGAGUAACAGGGAUCGAUAUAAACAACCUAAGUGGAAUACCUCAGAAAGAAAGAAAUAUUAUUUUUGCUGAUGCACAUAUUUUAUUUUGAAAAAUCAUGAAGAUCUCCAUUAGGAAAUCAUUCUUUCUUGGCAUUGUGUUGCAUGCUCAACAAAUAGAAGGUAAAUAUGCUAAAAUUGGUGUCUUUUUCACAAAAAAACACAUAGCUAUAAAGCUCUUUGUUUUCACCCAACUGCUGAAAACAUUUGUGUAGGCAAUUUCAGGAAACAUUUGGAGAAUUGGAAGUGCUCUCUCCUACACAUAUGGUUCUUUAUGAAGAGGUAAUUUUUAUCUAUGUUCUACUCGACUGAAUAUUUAUAAGUCUGUUUAGCCUCAAAGGUACCUGAUCUACCCCCAAAAUACAGUUGCCCCCAUAAAGCUAAAGUGAGAUUUAUUCAGUUACCCUUUAAGAACUUUGUGAGUUAUUUUCAUUUUCUCCCUAUGAAUUCAUUCCCUAAAUUUGUUUAAUUUGCUGUGUUAUUGCAAUUAGUCAAUUCUCCCUUAGUUACACAAAUAAUAGCCUUAUAAGUUUGAGGCUGUAAAUCACUCAUCCAUUAAAAAUGCCAUUUCCUUGUACUGCAAAUUUGAUUCAUUUAGAAGAGAAAAACCAUGGCAUGGAACAGAAUUAUGCAAUGUCAUGGACACAUUAACAUUUGGAUCAAAAUUUUACAUUGUGUCAACCAGUAAACAGUAUAAAUGGUCCAGAUUUGCCAUAAAUAAUUGUCUAUUAAUACUCUGGCAUGCUGUAGCAAAUUACAGUCGCACUUCAGUAAACACAGCUGUAGGUAGGCGCCAGGACCGAGGGAAGCAAGUGCCACAAUUGGUUUGAGUGGAAAGAGCCUGUUGUGCAGGGAUGCGGGGCAGCAUUUGUCCAGCAACGGGGAGCACGGCUGUGGAUUAAAUGCCCAUGUUCGUAAACACAGGAGGAAGACCCACUGGGCCCUUAUCAUAGCUGGAACAUGGGACGCCAGGAUGCAGCCUUUUGCCAUAAAACCUAUAGGAAGCACAGAUGCUGAACUCAAUAAGGGCAUCCUUCAUGUUUGCCAAAGGCAAAGGGGUGGUGACACAUUUUAUUAACCAGAAAAGUCUUUGUGGUGUAAAGGACUGACCUCAAGGGGAAACAGGCUUAUGGCUGGAGCAGCCACAAUAUCAGGUGUUGACUAUGGAGCCACUAAGGGACCGCCCACCCAGAAGCCCCAGAGUCUGUCUUAAUUGUAGCCGGAUUUAGGCCCUUCCUCCGUCUCUCCCCUCCUCACUAACCAACUGAAGAAAUGAAAAUUACUACUUUUUUUUCAGUGUUUGGCUGAAGGCUUUUAAGCCCUGUUAAAAUGCAAAUAAGGCAUCAGGAAUGGCUGGUAAAUAGGUAUAUUCACAUUCAUUAACAUCUUGGCCUGCGGCAGGUAAUCAAGUAGCCAAAAUCAGUGGACUGAGUAGGAUGAGUUGGAACUCAGGACAGGUAACCUUUGAUAUGGAUGAGGGGAGAAUGAAGUGUUGCCCAGAGUGUAUCAGCAGGGCACACAAAAGGGAUUUAGGGAAUGAGUCACAAAACUGACUAACACUUGUAUGUUUACCUGUGGGAGCAAGUACUACCACUACUAUUAUCAUCCCCAUUUCCCAGAUGAGAAUAUAGAGACCCAGAGAUAUUAAGGAACUUGCCCAUCAUGUACCCACCCACUGACAAUUUAUACUGAAGAAUUAUCCAUCUCCAAAAGCUCAAUUCUUUUAGUCCAGAAUUUAGCACCAGGCUCCCUAGGAAUAAUAGAGCUUAAGGAUCUUAAGGUUUUGUGGUUCAAUUAAUUGAAACUGUGACCCUUAGAAAAUACCAAGGUUUUAUGAAAUUCCCUGUAAUAAAUAUUCUAGAGUCAAUUCAAAACAUUAAAUUUAUUCCGGAGUUCCCAUUGUGGCGCAGUGGUUAAUGAAUCCAACUAGGAACCAUGAGGUUGCGGGUUCAAUCCCUGCCCUUGCUCAGUGGGUUGACGAUCCGUGUACUGUGGUGUAGGUUGCAGACGCGGCUCGGAUCCUGCGUUGCUGUGGCUCUGGCGUAGGCCGGCAGCUGCAGCUCCGAUUGGACCCCUAGCUUGGGAGCCUCCAUAUGCCGCUGGAGCAGCCCUAGAAAU
RNAcentral lists this long non-coding RNA (3539 nucleotides) under Sus scrofa (pig). Its description in RNAcentral is "lncRNA (ENSSSCG00000060603.1)". Lineage: Eukaryota; Metazoa; Chordata; Mammalia; Artiodactyla; Suidae. The record is from RNAcentral.